RNAcentral lists this ribosomal RNA (648 nucleotides) under uncultured archaeon. RNAcentral describes it as "partial 16S ribosomal RNA". The record is from RNAcentral.
GGCGUGACUCCAAUUGAACCGCAGGCUUCACCCCUUGUGGUGCUCCCCCGCCAAUUCCUUUAAGUUUCAUACUUGCGUACGUACUUCCCAGGCGGCAGACUUAACGGCUUCCCUGCGGCACUGCAUUGGCCACAAGCCAAUGCAUCACCGAGUCUGCAUCGUUUACAGCUGGGACUACCCGGGUAUCUAAUCCGGUUUGCUCCCCCAGCUUUCAUCCCUCACCGUCGAACGUGUUCUGGUACACCGCCUUCGCCACAGGUGGUCUUCAAUAGAUCAAAGGAUUUUACCCCUUCCUAUCGAGUACCGUGUACCUCUCCCACUCCCUAGCUGCACAGUAUUUUCGGCGGCCUAUACGUUAAGCGCAUAGAUUUAACCGAAAACUUAUGCAACCGGCUACGGAUGCUUUAGGCCCAAUAAACCUCCUGACCACUCGAGGUGCUGGUUUUACCGCGGCGGCUGACACCAGAACUUUGCCCACCCCUUUAUUCACCAGUGGAAUCUACAAAUGGACAAAGACUCCUUUUAGCAGGAGACACUCGGAAUUACCUUUGUCGUGGUUUCCGCACAUUUGCAAACGGUUUCUCGCCUGGUUGGGCCACAUUAGGGCCCUGGGUCCGGGGUCUCAGUACCCAUUUCUCCGGGGCCCUU